UACGGAGGGUGCAAGCAUUAAUCGGAAUUAUUGGGCGUAAAGGGCGCGUAGGCGGGAUUAAAAGUCAGAUGUGAAAUUCCGAAGCUCAACUUCGGAGCCGCAUUUGAAACUGCAAUUCUUGAGGGAUGGCGGAGGAAACGGAAUUCCACGUGUAGCGGUGAAAUGCGUAGAUAUGUGGAAGAACACCUGUGGCGAAAGCGGUUUUCUAGCUUUUACCUGACGCUGAGGCGCGAGAGCAAGGGGAGCAAACAGG
Molecule: ribosomal RNA, 253 nt
Filed under: uncultured prokaryote
Also listed under: 1 other name
Description: partial 16S ribosomal RNA
Rfam family: Bacterial small subunit ribosomal RNA
Source: RNAcentral